GACGAACGCUGGCGGCGUGCUUAACACAUGCAAGUCGAACGGAAAGGGCUGCUUUCCCUUGUGGAUUGCGGGGACUCGAGUGGCGAACGGCUGAGGAACACGUGAGUAAUCUGCCCCCAAGUUGGGUAUAAGCCUGGGAAACUGGGUCUAAUUGACGAAAGGACUGCAGGGUGGUGCCAGGGGUGGUUAACGAUUUUCUAGUGGUAGGGGAUGAGCUCGCGGCGUAUCGGAUUGUUGGUGGGGUAAUGAACUACCAAGGCGGAGACGGGUAGCCGGCCAGGGAGAGUGGACGGCCACAUUGGAACUGAGACACGGCCCAGACUGCGACGCGAGGCAGCAGUCGGGAAUAUUGAGCAGUGGGCGGAAGCCUGCAGCAGGGACGCGGCGUACGGAAUGACGGCGUGCGGGUUGUAAACUCCUUUCGGCCGUGAGGUAGCUACCUGGUUGAAGAGGUGGUGACGGUAGUGGUAGAAGAAGCACCGGCUAACUACGUG
RNAcentral lists this ribosomal RNA (494 nucleotides) under uncultured bacterium. Its description in RNAcentral is "partial 16S ribosomal RNA". It matches the Rfam family "Bacterial small subunit ribosomal RNA", at positions 28 to 507 of the family's 1533-position model. The record is from RNAcentral.